RNAcentral lists this microRNA (20 nucleotides) under Alligator mississippiensis (American alligator). RNAcentral describes it as "ami-miR-9606-5p". The record is from miRBase by way of RNAcentral. Lineage: Eukaryota; Metazoa; Chordata; Crocodylia; Alligatoridae.
CAAGGAUUUCUUAGGGUGAU